CCCUUUUUGUGUUGCCUCCUCAAUAUUCUGCCAGCACCACUACAAGGCCCACUUUCUCAUCCGUCCCCUUAUCUCCAUUCACACACUUUCUCAUCCGUCCCCUCCUCCCCUUCUCUCCAUUCACACACUUUCUCAUCCGUCCCCUCCUUUCCUUCUCUCCAUUCACACACUUUCUCAUCCGUCCCCUCCUUCCCCUUCUCUCCAUUCACACACUUUCUCAUCCGUCCCCUCCUUCCCUUCUCUCCAUCCAUCACAUCAGCUGCAUUAUGACAUAAUGCCCUACUUGGCUUCCCUACCCUUGGUCAGUCCCUCUCCAGUCCCUCCAUCACCCAGCUGCCAGUAAUAUCCUAAAGUUUCUCUGUCCUCCCUCAUCUACUGAAAAAGAAAAGAAAAAGCAAAAUUACAAAUAUUUUUAGUCAUGGAAAAUAAAUCUUUACAUUAGCCAUGUUCAAAAAAAGGAAAAAAGGAAGAAAAAAAUGGAAAAGAAGAUCAGAAAAUAGGCCGCCCUCUGAGUCCAUCAAUUCUCCAAAUGGAGAUGCUGCGUGCCCCAGAAGGGAACAUUUCAGAGUUAGGAUUGUCUGCGAUGCAGAGCACCAGGAGCCAUGCCGAAACUGGGACACACAAGGGAGAAGUGAUGAGCCCCAGAACCUCCCCACACCUCACCAGGAGCAUCAUCAAACUAGUCUUUUUGACUCCAUGAGUACACACUUGCACCCUGAGGUCACAAUUUCCCUCACAGAAGAAUCAAGGGUGAAGGAUGUCCAAGAAGCAGCCUGAUGGAGCGUAACGACCCUGGACUCAGAGUCAACAAAGCCUCUCUGCUCCAGCUCCCCACGGAACCUUGCUGGCAAAGGGCACUGAAAAGGGAAAAGACUUUGUCUCUUUCUGUCCUCCCAAAGCCUGGCAGGGAGGAACUUAAUAAAUCCUGAGACUGACAAGCAACUGGAUAAAAAGGAGUUACUGUUAUUGCCUCUCCAUCAACUAAAAAGAACUAGCAGUUUUAGAAACGCACACCUCCCUCUCCCAGGGUAUUGCUUCUGAAUCCCCCCGCUCCCUGCCCUCCCCCCCCAAUCAAGUCUGUCUUGCUGGCCCUGCGUGUGCUAAUCUGCACCCUUAACAGGCGAAAUGGCCUCUGCAGGACUUGUCACAGGCAGCGAGGCUCUCAGGCCUGCUUCCCCCGACCCCUCCCAACCCCCUGCUCCCUAAGUGGCAUAGGCUGCAGCUUCUAACAAUGUUCGAAGUUCUCAGGGACCAUGAGGACCCCAGACACUGCUUCAAGAUGGACAUCCUGUCCAUCCUUAGGGCCCUAACCUCCUUCAGAAAGCCGCCUAGAAGCCCUUGCACAGGCCCCUCUGAAUUCUGCCAAGUGUCUGCAGCUCAUUCAUCCGCCUUCCUAAGAGCUCUGUGUGAGGAUUCCAGGAGCAUUGAAAGGUUUGCAGAGUGCUUCAUAUCCCUGGUCUCUCAGGUUCUUCACAAAAGACAGCACAGCUCUUUGCACAUUAGCCAGCGAGUCCCAGGAAUGUGCCAGCAGCCCCUCCCCACAGCUGGAAUGUCCCUGCCUCCGGAGACCCCACCUCAUCCCAUCUCACCAAACUGCUCUGUGAAAGCUGUCCUAAUCCAAGGCCUACCACACUGUCUCUAGCUAGCCUCUUACACCAAUUCCCCUGGCCUGUCCUCCCAUGUGUGAAUCCCUUCUUCCCCAGCUCCUUCUACCGUCCGCCCUGGGAACAAUAAUCAAAUCACCAGGAUUCUGGGUAUGAUAAGGGACUGCCUCCAAGAUUCCAGUCUCUAUUCCAUCAUCUUGGUGAUUUCUGAAACAAAAACUCCUUUCUUUGCCAUGUCUACUUUGUCUCCCCUUAGGAAGCUAGGAUAUGAGUUCCCAAAAGACAAGAGACCAUUCUCAUUUAGUUUGUGUACCCUUGACAUCGAGCAUUGCUUAGCAUGUAUUAAGUACUGAGUAAAUGUUAAUUCAUUCAUUCAUUUAUUCAUUUAGAUGAUCAUGGAAAAUGUUUCUAUUUUCUUAAAGCUUUCUAUAAAAGCAAAGUCAAGAU
Long non-coding RNA from Antechinus flavipes (yellow-footed antechinus), 2051 nucleotides. RefSeq lists it as uncharacterized. NCBI's taxonomy places the organism in Eukaryota, Metazoa, Chordata, Mammalia, Dasyuromorphia, Dasyuridae. The record is from RefSeq and is a predicted model, not a curated record. The transcript is spliced from 3 exons.